RNAcentral lists this ribosomal RNA (379 nucleotides) under Cyanobium sp. CCMEE 6012. RNAcentral's name for it is "bacterial SSU rRNA". It matches the Rfam family "Bacterial small subunit ribosomal RNA", at positions 376 to 770 of the family's 1533-position model. RNAcentral also lists the same sequence under 1 other name. Lineage: Bacteria; Bacillati; Cyanobacteriota; Cyanophyceae; Synechococcales; Prochlorococcaceae. The record is from RNAcentral.
CGAAAGCCUGACGGAGCAACGCCGCGUGAGGGAUGAAGGCCUCUGGGCUGUAAACCUCUUUUCUCAAGGAAGAAGACAUGACGGUACUUGAGGAAUAAGCCACGGCUAAUUCCGUGCCAGCAGCCGCGGUAAUACGGGAGUGGCAAGCGUUAUCCGGAAUUAUUGGGCGUAAAGCGUCCGCAGGCGGCCUUGUAAGUCUGUCGUUAAAGCGUGGAGCUUAACUCCAUUUCAGCGAUGGAAACUACAAGGCUUGAGUGUGGUAGGGGCAGAGGGAAUUCCCGGUGUAGCGGUGAAAUGCGUAGAUAUCGGGAAGAACACCAGUGGCGAAGGCGCUCUGCUGGGCCAUAACUGACGCUCAUGGACGAAAGCCAGGGGAGCG